UUUUCCACAAAAAUAGAAUUCAAAAACUAAAAUGACCAAAAUAACAUUUUUAUUUUAAAAAUUUUAAAUUUUUUAAAUUUUUAAAAAUUUGAAAUCAUAUCCCUAAAAUCCCACUACUCAACUCUAAACCCUAAACUCUAAACUCUAGACUUUAAACCCUAAACCUUAAACCCUAAACCCUACACCCCACCUUAACUAUAAACCAUAAUGUAUAGAUUAAUUAACCCUAGGAGUAUAAGUGUAUAUUUACUUCUUUUGAUAAAAUAUUUAAGUCUAUUUAGGUCAUUUUUAUUUUUAAGGUCUAUAUUUAUGAAAAAAAAUUUUAGGUCUAUCCUAAAAAAUUUAUCUAUAAUGUUUAUAUUAAAAUCGUGAUAUUUAACAUAUACUAGAUGAUUUCACCGUGCUCAUGCACGUGUAUAAAUAUUUCUAAAGUAAAUAUAUUAUAGUAAUUUAUUAAUAUUUAAUUUUUAUUUUAAAUAAUUUUAGUUGACAAUAAUAUAUAUCUUUUGAAUAGAAGAUUAUUUUGUGAAAUUUCCUUUUUAUAAAUCACAUUACAUAAAAAAAUCUAUUUUCGUUUUUAAAUUUUAUAAAUGUUAUUUUAUUUUUUUGGUCAAAAUUUUAUAAAUGUUAUUUAUUCUAAGGUUAUCUGAAAAAAAAAGAAACCUAAAUAAAAUAAGGAAAAGGAAAAAAUAGAAUAUUUAAUAAUGACAAUUAGACAUAUUUGAUUCAUUCAGGAUACAAUUGUAAAUAACCGUUGUUAGAAUUAACGUGAGAGCGACACGUGGGAAACUGACUUCUCAAACAAUAUUAUAGAGAUAUUUUGCACAGUUAAUAGACCAUACAAAUUCUAUUUUUUUUUGUUAAUUUUUUUUUGUGUUGACUAAUUGAAAAGCAUCUAAAACAGAGACUCUUCCUUUGUUUUUUUAUGAAGAAUUAUUAAUUUUUCAUAUUUAAGAUUUUUAGAGAAAAUUCUUAUUUUACCUCAAAUCUGAUACUAUUUUUAAAUUUACUUUUAAAUAAUAAGUAUUUCAUAAAUGUUUUAAUUUAUUAUGAAAAAGAUAAAACUAAUCCUCUUAAAUCAUUUCUAAAUAUUUUAAAGUUAUUUAUAAAAUUUAUAAACUCAAUUUUACUCACUAAUAUUAAAUCCUAAGUUUUGAAUAAUUGAGUCUAUUUUUCGAAAAUCGGUAUCUAACUUAGUGUAUUUUAAGUAAUUUUUUUUAACAUAUGAGUUAUGUUUUAAAAGUUAAAAGAUCAUAAAGAAUAAUAUCCUCGAGGCCUUAAAUGUAAACGAAUGCGAAUAAUUCAACCAUAUUUGGGAAAAAUAAGGAAAUGUUAUAUAUAUAUAUACAUAAAAAUAUUUAACUUUGCAGUUUAUAUAUUGAUUAAAUUUUAUAAACUCAUCUUUCAAAUUAUUUUACUAUAUUAUUUGGUGUAUAUAAAAUAUGUAACAUAAAAUUUAAAUGUGUUUGUAAAUAUAAUUUUAUUAAAUUUUUCAAAAUAUUUUAAAGUGUUAAGAAAGUAGAAAUAGAUUUCAUUGUGAAUAUAAAACAAAUAAUAAUAUUUUUUAUUUUAUAAAAAAUAAUAUAUAUUAAUAUAUUUUAUUAAAUUAUUAUUUUAUUAUUUUAUCGAUUUGUGUUAUAUUUUCCAUCUAUCUAAUUCCAGGCCGAUGAAAUUUAUUAAUUUAUAAUAUUUAUUAAUUUAUAAUUUUAUACAGUUUAUUAAAAAUGGUAAAACUGUAAAAGUAAAAGAAGUCUUACCCCUGCGAUUUCGAAUAUGUAAUUAUGUAAAGACCCAUUAGGUGCUGGGUCUUACAUUAUGCAGUUAGAGGCCUAUUUACAACUGUUUGAAAAUUUGAAAGAUUAUGGGCCUUUUACAGAAUUGACGAGUUGAGGCCAUUUUAAAAGCCUUUUACAGAAUUGACGAGUUGAGGCCAUUUUAAAAGCCUUUUACAGAAUUGACAGAAUUGCUUUUUAAACAUUGCAAAAACAAAAAGUUUGUUUUCCUAAAUAACUCGGUAUAUGAUAAUAUCAUAAUACCAUUUUCAGUUUGUAUUUUAUGCCCCAAUAUCCUAAAGUAAUAAUAGCGUGAUAGUGACAAUUAAUGUGAAGAAGACAAUGGGCACCAAAAGAUAAUCGAUGUGAAAAUCAGCGUCAAGAGUAAGGACCAAGAUAUAUAUUUUUUGCUAAGACGGACCCAUUUAUCUUAUAAAUCUCGGGUUGCGAAAGGACAAAACUGUACUGUGUUUCUAUUGGAAUGGCUUCCGUUCAUGUUACGUGCUAGAAUACUAGCUAGUUUUUUUUUUUCCAACACGGGAGACUUUCUAUUAAAAUAUAAACGUCCGCAUACAGACUAUGAUUCCAAACAGCAACAAGGGGAUGAAACUAGUUCAUUAUGCAUAUAUUGUUUUACCUAAUGGGCUUUGUCUUUUUACCCCCUUCCUUUUUUUUACAAAAAAAUUUAACAUUAGAUAAACGUAAAACAAUCUCUAAAUGGCAGCUUAUUUAAGCCUAAAAUUUAAAACAAAACAUACAUGGUAGCUUACUCGCGAAAGCAACCAACCAGUCCGGUGGUACAAGGGAGUAUGGUUCACGCAAGCUACCCCAAAUAUGAUGUUCUUGUCUGAAAUACAAUUUAUGAUAGUGAAAAAGAAAAAAAAACAUGAGUGGUGAUUGGAUUGAUGAUAAAAUAGAAUUUUGUCUACAGUAACCAAGAUGAAGAGUUAGAAUACUCAGACAGAUGCUUCUUGUAUUCUAGGCAACGCUUCAUUAGAGACACUAGAUCACCUAUUUUUCCAAUGUAACCUUUGUCGAAAGUUAAUGGGCAUGGAAUAAACGACAAAAUGGAAUAAGAUUCUACAAAUAUUGGUUGAUAAGGCUCAAGAUAGUGUCCUUCUCUUCUUUAUCCGCUAAACUUUUCAAGUCACCCUUUAUACCAGCAGCUCAAAUUACUCCCAACCAGUGGUGAAGCUAGCGUGUAAUUAGGGUGGUCAAAGGACCUAUAUGAUAAAAAAUUUUACUUGUAUUUUCCUUUUCAAAUUUGAUGAAAUUUAAACAAAUAAAUUGUAACCCUUGUUAUGCCUCCGCUAGUCCGUGUCCCCCAUAUAAUAAUAAUUAAAUAGCCAAUUUUUUUUAAAAAAAUCUAUAUUUUUAUAUAUAAAAAAAAUUAUAAAUAUAAUAAAUAAAAUUGAAAAGGGCUCAAAAUUAUUUGAUAUGUGUAUAGUUUUAUUUUCAUUACAAAAUAUAAAAAAAUAUUACUGAUUGAACUUUAAAAAAUAUUUUAAACAUUAUAUGUACAUAAACUUUAAAGGAUAAAUUUUUUUUUUUUGCCCUAUGAUCUCUAACAGUGUUGAGCCGGCUCUGGCUACUGUUCACAACGUUGAUAUGAUGGUACACAACAUAAUCUCUUCGUUCUGAGAGAUGAAAAGGAACCCAUACAAAGGUGCUAUUGUUCAUGGUGCGCUUCACCAUAACCAUCUCAACCACCGAUCUCUAUCUGUUCAAUCUUUUUAUUUUAAAAAAGUUCAGUAUCAGUCACAACUAUUGUUUCUUUUUUGAUAAUUGUGGUGUGAUCUUAAAAGUUUUUUAGUCCUAAUGACUAAUCAAUACGAGAUCCAUAGAAAUCUGGAUUUUCGUGCCACUUAAGGAAUCAAUGGGUGGCCAAGAGAAAUCGAAUUCAUUGUAGAAACUCCAACCGUAGCUCCUUUACCACUAGACCGAAACGACUUGGUUAAGUCACAACUAUUGUAUAAACAAUUUUUUUGCUCUAAAUUAAUUUAACAUAUAUUAAAAAAAAGCUAAAACUAUCUAAGAAUCUAACUAUAAGUCUAUAACCACCAUCAAUCAAAACGAAAAUUUGUAGUGGUUAUAUACACCAAUAGUUUGAUUACAAAUAUUUAUUUGACAAAUAACAUGAAGAUUAUCUGUAAAAUAUCAAACAAUUUGAAGACAUAUUAGAUUUAUGAAAAUGACGCAGAAAAUAAUCGUGCUAACUAAAACAUUCAGAUAUAGUUCAAAUUUCCACUAUGUAAUGCUUAUAUAUAUUUUUAAUGACAAUUUCAUGAGUAAGCAAAACAAAAACAUAAAGUUCGUAUAUAUUAUAUAUCAGGGGGCCUAUUUAUAAAAACGAAGGAAAGAUUGUGAUACCUAACAAAAUGGGAAGACUUGGUGAUGAUAAGAGACUAGAAGGACGAAGAUGCGAAGAGACAUACCAACUUUUUUUUUUUGUUUAAUCUGAGAGAAUUCCGGACCGAAAAACAUAUUAAUCUUUAAGAAGAUAUGCAGUCUAUGGAUGAAUCUUCUUUUUGAGUAUUUAAAUAGAAUCCAAAAUAUGAUCAUAUAUCUGCGUGACUACACGUUAAAGUAAAUUGAGUAGUAACAUAUUUAAACUCAGCUUAUUAGAGAUGCUAAAACGCCAUGUACCACCCGACCACUAACGCGUGGUUGACGCACCAACUUUACUAUGCCGAAUCAAAAGAGAAAAGAAAAAUCAUCUUUUUAUCUUACCUCUCUCUCUCUCUUUUAACUUGCUUUCAACCAUACACACAUAUACGCACACUCAUGCAAACAAAGACCUUUAGUAGUGUAAAACUAUAUAUAUUUAGUAGACAAAGCUUGCAUCAUGGCUUGCCUUUGCAAAUCUUUUGAUUCACGAUCAAAAAUGUAUACUUCUUUGUUUUUGAAAGAUGUAUGUUUGUAUUUUCCCUAAAUGUAUUAUAUGUUUGUUUUUGAGUAGUGAAAAAAGACAUGAAACAUCGAGUUAUUAUUUUCCCUAAAUGUAUAUUACUCUUUCGAAUCAUAGUCACUAAUCCACUACAGUGGCUUACCCUUUUUACUAAAUAUAUACUUCUUUGUUUUUGAAAGAUGUAUGUUUGUAUUUUUUUACACAUAAUAAUAACAUAUUAUAAAUUUUAAUAAACUUAUAUUUUUUUUGUAUUUAUAAAUUUCCUGUAAUUCUAAAACAAUAGUGUUUGAAAAAGUACAAUUAAUCUUUGUGAAGUUUGCGAUUUACCAAUAUUAACUAAUAAAAAUCUCAUAUAAAACUUUAUACAUGCAUUUAAAAAAUAAUUUUUAUUUUAAAACAUUUAUCUUUUUAGAGACAGAGUGAAUAUAUUACAACCCAACAAUUUAAAAAUCGUAUGUGCCUUAUUUGUAUAAUUGAGUUCAAAAUAAAUUAUAGUAGCCUAGUAUAUUAGUUUUUUUUUGUUUGUUCAUUCAAUCACCAUAGCGUAGAAUAUCAGUUGAAUGAAGAGAGAUGAAACAUUUUACAAUCAAUUUAAUCAUUAUUCAUUACUUUUUUCUCACAUAAGUUUUUAUGAAAGAGCCGAUAAGCUUUAAAAUAAUUACGUUGCUUGCACAUUUAGGUAUAUAUAUGCAUGCAGAAUUUUGGUAUUAGGACCAGUUUUGGUAUCGAUUUAACUUGGUUUGAAAAGAUUUGAUAUGAUUUUAUUUGGCUCUUUUCCUUUUUCUAUAAAUGUUUAUUUAAUAACAACAAAAUUAUCUGAUUGAAAUGGUAAAUCGGAUAUGAUGUAUUUAAGUUUUGUUCAACUGAUUUGAAAAUUUUGGCUCUUUUCCUUUUUCUAUAAUUUUUUAUUCGACGACAGUAAAAAUAUUUUAUUUAAAAAUUGAAUACUAUCAGGAUAUAUUAGUAAAACAGUGAAAAGGUUAUAUAAAAGCAGUUUGCUAAAUUUUAAAAUUAGUAACGAUACUAAUUGAAAAACAUGAGUUUGCCGCUCUAUAAGUAAAGUCAAUAUCAAACUAACAGAAUAAUUUAUAUAUAUUAUUCAUGAAAAGGAGGAACACAUGACUAAUAGAGUACAUAAGAAUAAACGAAGAAGAAAAUCAACAAGAAAAAUAUAACAAUAUGAAAAAUAACGUAUUAAAACAUGAUGAUAGAAGGAUUGUCUAUCCUUUUUUGCCACCUCCGCGGCUCUACGGCCAACCAGACAUGUUGCUUUUCGUGUCUUCAUACUUUUCUAUUCUUUUCCUUUUAGUUUAUACUAUAAUUGUGGGCGUUUGUCAAAUCAUGGAUUAUGCUUCUUUAUUUGCUAUAAUCCCAUUUCAAGUAUCUACUCGGAUAUAAUAACAAUGACAAAAAAAGAUCCGUCAAUCAUAGCUUUAGAUUUUAACAAAGCCACCAAAAUUGACGGUGUGGUAUUAUCUGUAUCAAUCAGAAUAUAAUCCUGAAUUAUAUAUAGGUAUCCGAGAUGGAUUUCUGUCUUAAUGAUUCUUUGCAGAAUGUCAGAAGGAAUAUUAUGAUGUUAUCGUACAUUUUUGUCGACAAUGUUUUUACUACUACUACUCCUUCAUUUUUUUUUUAUAUUUGACGCUUUAGGAUUGUACGCAUAGAUUAAAAAACAUUUAAUUUUUUAAACAAAAACAUUAUUAAUUGUUAACCUAACUAUAAUUUAACUAAUAAUAAAAUAGAAACUAUAAUACCAUUAGUCAUCUAACAUUAAUUAGUAAUAAAUUUUAUAUAGAAAAUUGAAAACGUCAAAUAUAAAAAAACGGAAGGAGUAUUAAUUAAGAAAACCCAGAGGGCAAGAAAAACUAUUAUGGAAAGAAAAUCAUUCAACUUGUAUAUCAUUUUGUUUUUGUAAAUAAAGGCAAUAAAUAUAAUGACCAAACUAGACAUUUUUAAGUUUUUUCCACAAAAAUAGAAUUCAAAAACUAAAAUGACCAAAAUAACAUUUUUAUUUUAAAAAUUUUAAAUUUUUUAAAUUUUUAAAAAUUUGAAAUCAUAUCCCUAAAAUCCCACUACUCAACUCUAAACCCUAAACUCUAAACUCUAGACUUUAAACCCUAAACCUUAAACCCUAAACCCUACACCCCACCUUAACUAUAAACCAUAAUGUAUAGAUUAAUUAACCCUAGGAGUAUAAGUGUAUAUUUACUUCUUUUGAUAAAAUAUUUAAGUCUAUUUAGGUCAUUUUUAUUUUUA
This 6936-nucleotide long non-coding RNA is filed under the name Brassica napus (rape). Its description in RNAcentral is "long non-coding RNA (BNAP_LNC007058)". The record is from RNAcentral. Lineage: Eukaryota; Viridiplantae; Streptophyta; Magnoliopsida; Brassicales; Brassicaceae.